UCAGGUGGCUGGACGGCCGCCGGCCUGCGUCCUUGCGGCGUGGGCCGGAGGAAAGUCCGGGCUCCACGGGAACACGGUGCCGGCCAACGGCCGGCGGGGGGAUGGGCAUGCCGCAAGGCGUGCUCCGAGCCUCAGGGAAAGUGCCACAGAAAGCAAACCGCCCGGCCCGGCGAAAGCCGCGCCAGGCAAGGGUGAAAGGGUGCGGUAAGAGCGCACCGCGGCGCCGGCAACGGGGCCGGCAUGGCAAACCCCACCGGGAGCAAGGCCGAAUAGGGGUGACCGGCGGGCUAUCCUUCGGGAUGGUGCCGCAGGGGCGUUCCCGCCCCGUCGCCCGGGUUGGCCGCGAGAGCCUUGCCGUAAGGCGGGCGAUAGAGGAAUGGUCGUCCCAUCCCCGGAAUUCCGGAGGUGGACAGAACCCGGCUUACAGGCCGCCUGGCGCA
Molecule: RNase P RNA, 440 nt
Filed under: Siccirubricoccus deserti
Lineage: Bacteria; Pseudomonadati; Pseudomonadota; Alphaproteobacteria; Acetobacterales; Roseomonadaceae
Description: Bacterial RNase P class A
Rfam family: Bacterial RNase P class A
About the family: Ribonuclease P (RNase P) is a ubiquitous endoribonuclease, found in archaea, bacteria and eukarya as well as chloroplasts and mitochondria. Its best characterised activity is the generation of mature 5'-ends of tRNAs by cleaving the 5'-leader elements of precursor-tRNAs. Cellular RNase Ps are ribonucleoproteins.
Source: Rfam by way of RNAcentral